GACGAACGCUGGCGGCGGGCUUAACACAUGCAAGUCGAACGGAAAGGCCCUGCUUUUGUGGGGUGCUCGAGUGGCGAACGGGUGAGUAACACGUGAGUAACCGGCCCUUGACUUUGGGAUAACUUCAGGAAACUGGGGCUAAUACCGGAUAGGAGCUCCUGCUGCAUGGUGGGGGUUGGAAAGUUUCGGCGGUUGGGGAUGGACUCGCGGCUUAUCAGCUUGUUGGUGGGGUAGUGGCUUACCAAGGCGUGGACGGGUAGCCGGCCUGGGAGGGUGACCGGCCACCUUGGGACUGCGAUACGGACCAGACUCCUACGGGAGGCAGCAGUGGGGAAUAUUGCACAGUGGGCGGAAGCCUGAUGCGGAAACGUCGCGUGCGGGAUGCCGGCCUUCGGGUUGUAAACCGCUUUCGCCUGUGACGAAGCGUGAGUGACGGUAAUGGGUAAAGAAGCACCGGCUAACUACGUG
Molecule: ribosomal RNA, 468 nt
Filed under: uncultured bacterium
Lineage: Bacteria
Description: partial 16S ribosomal RNA
Rfam family: Bacterial small subunit ribosomal RNA
Source: RNAcentral